RNAcentral lists this long non-coding RNA (454 nucleotides) under Populus trichocarpa (black cottonwood). Its description in RNAcentral is "long non-coding RNA (PTRI_LNC001678)". The record is from RNAcentral. Lineage: Eukaryota; Viridiplantae; Streptophyta; Magnoliopsida; Malpighiales; Salicaceae.
UACUGUAUCACCCUUCCCCUCUGUUUGAACUUCUUCAGGAAAUUGUCCGCUGCAAAAUGUUGCUUGAUCCUUUGAGGUCACAAUUUUGACAUCAACCUCUUGCAAAUCUUGAAAACGCAGAGCACUGGGUUCUUCUUCUUCAUGCUGAGAAUUAGGGAUGCUCUCUGAGGUAGACUCAAUUUCAGUGCCAUCCUUUUGAGGUGGACUGCUACAAUCUGCUUCAUGCUGAGAAUUUGGGAUGCUCUCUGAGGUAGACUCAAUUUCAGUGCCAUCCUUUUGAGGUGGACUGCUACAAUCUGCUUGCUUCUCUCCAUUGCAAACACUUGUUUCAGAAUCAGUGGAGCUGUCUUUAGGACCGUCAGAUACUUCCACUGAACAGCUUGUAGGAUCAACUGUCUUGUUUUCCAGGCUGUAUUCUGUGCUAGACAUUGAUGUUGGCUUGUCAUUCUGAGGU